Molecule: ribosomal RNA, 95 nt
Filed under: Thermoactinomyces daqus
Lineage: Bacteria; Bacillati; Bacillota; Bacilli; Caryophanales; Thermoactinomycetaceae
Description: partial 16S ribosomal RNA
Rfam family: Bacterial small subunit ribosomal RNA
Source: RNAcentral
UUUAUCGGAGAGUUUGAUCCUGGCUCAGGAUGAACGCUGGCGGCGUGCCUAAUACAUGCAAGUCGUGCGGGGGAAGAUCCUCCGGGAUCGGACCC